GUUGAUUCAAAAAAUUAUAUGAACUUUACAAGAUAACAAUGUAAUACAAAAAAAAUUAGCACAACAGUUUAUGAAUAUAAAAAGACAUGUGUAACAAUAAAAAAAAGUUUGAAAAAAAAAUUAGAACUUAAAAAUGGAUAAUUUUGGCAUUUUAAAAUAAUUAUGAGGACAAUUAUGUCAAAAUAAUUAAAAUGGUAAUGAUAUCUUUCUCUUUCCCUCCCCUCCCCUCCAAA
This 233-nucleotide long non-coding RNA is filed under the name Trifolium pratense (red clover). RNAcentral's name for it is "long non-coding RNA (TPRA_LNC006866)". The record is from RNAcentral. Lineage: Eukaryota; Viridiplantae; Streptophyta; Magnoliopsida; Fabales; Fabaceae.